CCUACGGGAGGCAGCAGUAGGGAAUAUUGGGCAAUGGACGCAAGUCUGACCCAGCCAUGCCGCGUGCAGGAAGAAGGCGUUAUGCGUUGUAAACUGCUUUUAUACAGGAAGAAACGACUCUUGCGAGAGGCAUUGACGGUACUGUAUGAAUAAGCACCGGCUAACUCCGUGCCAGCAGCCGCGGUAAUACGGAGGGUGCAAGCGUUGUCCGGAUUUAUUGGGUUUAAAGGGUGCGCAGGUGGUUUAUUAAGUCAGUGGUGAAAGACGGUCGCUCAACGAUUGCAGUGCCAUUGAAACUGGUAGACUUGAGUAAAGUAGAGGUGGGCGGAAUUGAUAGUGUAGCGGUGAAAUGCAUAGAUAUUAUCAAGAACUCCAAUUGCGAAGGCAGCUCACUUGGCUUUUACCGACACUCAUGCACGAAAGUGUGGGUAUCAAACAGGAUUAGAUACCCUGGUAGUCCACACUGUAAACGAUGAUAACUAGGUGUCGGCCGAAUCUGGUCGUGCCACAGCGAAAGCGUUAAGUUAUCCCNCGNGGAGGACGCCGCGACGAGAACGACGAAAGAAGUAGACGGCGUGAGACGAGACGACGGACGACGACGAGGGGAGGAGG
RNAcentral lists this ribosomal RNA (612 nucleotides) under uncultured bacterium. Its description in RNAcentral is "bacterial SSU rRNA". The stretch from base 1 to 533 matches the Rfam family "Bacterial small subunit ribosomal RNA", at positions 338 to 873 of the family's 1533-position model. The record is from RNAcentral.